Molecule: unclassified non-coding RNA, 343 nt
Filed under: fungal sp.
Lineage: Eukaryota; Fungi
Description: partial internal transcribed spacer region
Rfam family: Eukaryotic small subunit ribosomal RNA (bases 1-46)
Source: RNAcentral
AAGUCGUAACAAGGUUUCCGUAGGUGAACCUGCGGAAGGAUCAUUAAUAAUGAGUAUGUCUGUUUGAUUUUCGAAUUGGACACGACUACUCUUACAACAAAUCCAAAACCGUGUGUGAAUGCGAGGUGUGGACCCUUGGUCUUUAUCGACUGAGAGUCUGCCCUCACUUCAUAUACAAACCCAUUGUGCACUGUUUGCAAAUAAAUGGAUGGGAUCCGGUCUGUAUUUGGGCCGGUGACUGUUCUUUACAUGCUUUACAAAUUUACAACCAUACUACCGGUUCAUACAACAUUAAAGCGAAAGCAAAUUGACACAACUUUUGACAACGGAUCUCUUGGCUCUC